AGAUGCUCGGAUACUGGGCGUAAGCGUACGUAGGCGGAUCAGAAAGUAUGGGGUGAAAUCCCAGGGCUUAACCCUGGAACUGCCUCAUAAACUCCUGGUCUUGAGUUCGAGAGAGGUGAGUGGAAUUCCAAGUGUAGAGGUGAAAUUCGUAGAUAUUUGGAGGAACACCAGUGGCGAAGGCGGCUCACUGGCUCGAUACUGACGCUGAGGUACGAAAGUGUGGGGAGCAAACAGGAUUAGAUACCCUGGUAGUCCACACCGUAAACGAUGAAUGCCAGUCGUCGGGCAGUAUACUGUUCGGUGACACACCUAACGGAUUAAGCAUUCCGCCUGGGGAGUACGGUCGCAAGAUUAAAACUCAAAGGAAUUGACGGUGGCCCGUAR
RNAcentral lists this ribosomal RNA (384 nucleotides) under uncultured Pseudomonadota bacterium. RNAcentral describes it as "bacterial SSU rRNA". It matches the Rfam family "Bacterial small subunit ribosomal RNA", at positions 539 to 926 of the family's 1533-position model. Lineage: Bacteria; Pseudomonadati; Pseudomonadota. The record is from RNAcentral.